ACGGGGUGCAGCAGGCGCGAAAACUUCGCAAUGCGCUAAAGCGCGACAAGGCUACUCUGAGUGCUACCCGCUGAGGGUGGCUUUUCCUAGGUCUAAAUAGCCUAGGGAAUAAGGGGAGGGCAAGCCUGGUGUCAGCCGCCGCGGUAAUACCAGCUCCCCGAGUGGUUGGGAUGUUUAUUGGGCCUAAAGCAUCCGUAGCCGGUUCUGUAGGUCUCCCGUUAAAUUCAACGGCUCAACCGUUGAGCUGCCGGAGAUACCGCAGGGCUAGGAGGCGGGAGAGGCGGACGGUACUCCGUGGGUAGGGGCAAAAUCCUCUGAUCCACGGAAGACCACCAGUGGCGAAGGCGGUCUGCCAGAACGCGCUCGACGGUGAGGGAUGAAAGCUGGGGGAGUGAACCGGAUUAGAUACCCGGGUAGUCCACGCUGUAAACGAUGUAUGCUCGGUAUUUGUGCUGUUACGGCAUGGGUACCCCAGGAAACCCGGUAAGCAUACCGCCUGGGAAGUACGAACGCAAGUUUAAAACUCAAAGGAAUUGGCGGGGGAGCAC
Molecule: ribosomal RNA, 548 nt
Filed under: uncultured archaeon
Lineage: Archaea
Description: bacterial SSU rRNA
Rfam family: Archaeal small subunit ribosomal RNA
Source: RNAcentral